RNAcentral lists this ribosomal RNA (253 nucleotides) under uncultured bacterium. Its description in RNAcentral is "partial 16S ribosomal RNA". It matches the Rfam family "Bacterial small subunit ribosomal RNA", at positions 524 to 776 of the family's 1533-position model. The record is from RNAcentral.
GACGUAGGGCGCGAGCGUUGUCCGGAAUUAUUGGGCGUAAAGAGCUCGUAGGCGGCUUGUCGCGUCGACUGUGAAAACCUGCAGCUCAACUGUGGGCUUGCAGUCGAUACGGGCAGGCUAGAGUUCGGUAGGGGAGACUGGAAUUCCUGGUGUAGCGGUGAAAUGCGCAGAUAUCAGGAGGAACGCCGAUGGCGAAGGCAGGUCUCUGGGCCAUAACUGACGCUGAGAAGCGAAAGCAUGGGGAGCGAACAGG